UGUCUUCUUCCUGACAUAUUUCCAGUUUGCGGAGACAUCCACGGGCAGUUCUUUGACCUAAUGAAGCUGUUUGAAGUAGGAGGAUCACCAGCAUCCACACGCUACCUUUUCCUUGGGGACUACGUAGACAGAGGGUAUUUCAGUAUUGAAUGUGUGCUCUACUUGUGGGCCUUAAAGAUCCUAUACCCCAAAACACUGUUUUUGCUGCGUGGGAAUCACGAAUGUCGACAUCUAACAGAGUAUUUCACAUUUAAGCAGGAAUGUAAAAUUAAGUAUUCAGAGAGGGUGUAUGACGCAUGUAUGGACGCCUUCGACUGCCUUCCCCUGGCUGCUCUUAUGAACCAGCAGUUCCUGUGUGUACACGGAGGACUGUCUCCAGAAAUCACAAAUCUUGACGACAUCAGGAAACUAGACAGAUUCAAAGAGCCGCCAGCUUACGGGCCGAUGUGCGAUCUGCUGUGGUCGGACCCGCUGGAGGACUUUGGGAACGAGAAGAGCCAGGAGCACUUCACACACAACACAGUGAGAGGCUGCUCCUAUUUCUACAGCUACCCUGCAGUCUGCGACUUUCUACAACACAAUAACUUAUUAUCUAUCAUCCGGGCCCAUGAAGCACAGGACGCCGGAUACCGCAUGUACAGAAAGAGUCAGACCACUGGCUUCCCGUCCCUUAUCACCAUUUUCUCAGCUCCAAACUAUCUAGACGUCUACAACAACAAAGCGGCUGUGCUGAAGUACGAGAACAACGUGAUGAACAUCAGACAGUUCAACUGCUCACCUCAUCCCUACUGGCUGCCCAACUUCAUGGACGUUUUCACCUGGUCUCUGCCGUUUGUCGGGGAGAAAGUGACUGAGAUGCUUGUGAACGUGUUGAGCAUUUGUUCCAACGACGAGCUGACGACUGACGAAGAGCUAGACGGACAGCUAAUAUAUCCCCCCAAAAAAGGUGCCACGGCUUCUGCCAGAAAGGAGGUCAUCCGCAACAAGAUCCGUGCCAUUGGGAAGAUGGCCCGGGUGUUCUCUGUGCUCAGAGAGGAGAGUGAGAGCGUGCUCACGCUGAAGGGGCUGACCCCGACUGGCAUGCUGCCGAGCGGAGUGCUGUCCGGUGGCAAAGAGAAGCUGCAGAACGGUACAUUCGGUUGUUGUGCAAGUAUUUCGCUGUGUUUUGUCUUCAGAUGUUCUGUCUUUAGAUUUAUGUUCACUCUCGGUUUCACAAACCUCUGGAGGUUUUAAGAAGCUUUAUGUAUAAGAAAUCAAUACUAAAAUUUUAAGAUUAUCUUCUAUAGAUGCAGCAAAAAUUACCUCGUUCUCAACUUAAAAGCUGAUUUUUGUAGAUUUACAGCCUCAUUGUCCCUCUAGAAAAAACACGUAAAAACCAAUGAAAUACAUUUAUACAAUAAUGCAUUAGUUUAAUCUUACUAUUGGAAAUUAAAAUGAUAAAUUUGAUCUUAAGAAAUAAUUGUCUUUCUCAAAUUUAUCGGUGGUUAAGCUAAUUUUUUGUUUGCUUCUUUGAACUUUGAAAACAUUUAGCGCAGUUAGCUUCCACCAAACUAAUUUUUCUGAGUAAAUUCUAAAGCGCUAGUAAACUUUAUUAAACUUAAAGUUGAAUAAACUUUGAUAUCUGCUGUAUUGUUUAUCGACUGCUAGGAAUUCUUCAAGUAGCUAGCCGGUUACAUUCAUGCUCUUAUUUUGAAACUGCUUAAACAGUUUCCUCUCCUCAUGUUCUCCACCUGUGAUGCGACACAGGAAUUUCCAGUUUUCUCUACCCAGAAUGCAUUUCUGUAAAACUACAGGCUGUAGUUUUGAAUGCGAAUCAGCAUAAUUGAAAUUAGCGCAUUAGCAUUAGCUUCUGCUAACUAACAUGUUGGUGUCCGCUAACACCUUAGCGUUAGCUAACUAACUUCUUAGUUAGCAGUGCCCACAACUUUUUUUAUUUAUUUUUGUAUCGCUUCUUAUGGCUGUUUUAGAGUCUUUGUUUUAUUUAAAUAUUUGGUUAAGAUAAAUUAACUUUGGGGGAUUCUCAAUUAAACUUUUUAGGCCAUCUAAAACAAAUUAAAGUAUAAAUAAACCAUUCUUCAGUCAUUUAGGUUUCUAUAGGGAUUUUUAGAGUUGUAAAUUUAUUUUUUGUUGCUACAGUAAAUGUUCUCAAACAAAGGGUUUGGAUUUUUCCAGAAACAUCAGUGUGAAAUAUGCUACUGCAUACAUAUUUACUUGAUAACACGUUAAUAAAUCAUCUCCUACAAUAAUACCUUUAGAGAGGCUCUUCCUCCAUAUUUAACGAGGACGUGUAAAAACGUCAGGUUUGCGUAGAUUCAUCGUGGCUCUCGCCUCAUUUAGCCGAUCACCUGUGAUUUUUCCAUCUUAUUUGUGUUGUUGGUUUAGUUGGAGCUCACCCUCUCGGAGCUUUGUGCCGUUUUCUCAUGUCUGUAAACCUCGGCCUCCCUCCUUCAUGUUGUGUUUUAUUUAAAUGUGUAACUCCCAGGUUAGUGAUCGGUAAGUGGCUGGAAGGUUUUCUUCACGCUCGGCCAGUGAUUUUGAUAUUUAGCAUCAAAAGAGGCUGAACCCGUGUGUUAUCCUGCUGUGUCCAUCUGAUUAUUUGUUUUCAAUAUUUCUAAUCUCAUCUCCAGCAGAAACAAAUGGUUUUCCAACAUUUUUGGUGUCAUAUUUCUUUCUAAGGAUUUAUUUAUGUUUCCUGCCACUACAUUCAUUCGUUUGACACUUUUUCUUGAACUUUAACCCUUUCUCCAUGAUAUUUGCUGCCACUUCUCCUCCUUCUCCUCCCUUUUUGCUAACAUCCUCGUAUUCUUUUGUCAUGAAAUGUGGAGAUGCCGUUAACCUUUUGUUGUCGUUAUUGGCUGUCUUUGCUGCUCAUUGACUUGUUCCUGGGACACAAUGACCUCCUCCUGCUCACCUCUCUCGUUCAUUUUGCAACCCCCCUCUUCUUCUCUUCAGCUACUAUUGAAGCUAUUGAGGCUGACGAAGCCAUCAAAGGCUUCUCCCCUCAGCACAAGAUCACCAGCUUCGAGGAGGCCAAGGGCCUGGACCGCAUCAA
Poecilia reticulata (guppy) is the source of this 3052-nucleotide non-coding RNA. NCBI's taxonomy places the organism in Eukaryota, Metazoa, Chordata, Actinopteri, Cyprinodontiformes, Poeciliidae. The record is from RefSeq and is a predicted model, not a curated record.